This 483-nucleotide ribosomal RNA is filed under the name uncultured bacterium. Its description in RNAcentral is "bacterial SSU rRNA". It matches the Rfam family "Bacterial small subunit ribosomal RNA", at positions 328 to 803 of the family's 1533-position model. The record is from RNAcentral.
GAAUUCAACUCCUACGGGAGGCAGCAGUGGGGAAUUUUGGACAAUGGGCGCAAGCCUGAUCCAGCCAUGCCGCGUGCGGGAAGAAGGCCUUCGGGUUGUAAACCGCUUUUGUCAGGGAAGAAACGCUCUGGGCUAAUACCCUGGGGUAAUGACGGUACCUGAAGAAUAAGCACCGUCUAACUACGUGCCAGCAGCCGCGGUAAUACGUAGGGUGCAAGCGUUAAUCGGAAUUACUGGGCGUAAAGCGUGCGCAGGCGGUUAUGCAAGACAGAUGUGAAAUCCCCGGGCUUAACCUGGGAACUGCAUUUGUGACUGCAUAGCUAGAGUGCGGCAGAGGGGGAUGGAAUUCCGCGUGCAGCAGUGAAAUGCGUAGAUAUGCGGAGGAACACCGAUGGCGAAGGCAAUCCCCUGGGCCUGCACUGACGCUCAUGCGCGAAAGCGUGGGGAGCAAACAGGAUUAGAUACCCUAGUAGUCCAGGCGUU